UUGCUUAGAAGAAGUUGCUAGAAUCGGUGCAGGAAAUUGACGUCGGUUUCUUCUGAUAGACUUUCAAUCCAUGAUACAAGUUAGGAAACAACAGGGACACUUAGAGUGUCAGACGUGCAAGACAAAACUAGUUUAUUUGUAGCUCAUCAUUUGAUCUCAUAGCUCUCUCACUACCCCUCUCUCCCUCGCGCUCUCUCUCUCUUUUCUAUCACUCUUUUCUCCCCUCUCUUCGCCCCUUUUGUCUCUCUCUCCUAAUCUCUCUUUCUCAUCUUCUCUCUCUCUCUCUCUCUCUAUUUUCCUCUUUUUCUGACUUCCUAUCUCUUCAUCUUUCUCAGCUCCACUGUCACUAUCUCUCUGUCGGUGCGUAGAUUAUGGCAUUCUAGCACCAAUGUGUAUUAAGUGCACUAUUUUUGAACGCACUUUCUUUUUGUUGCCUUGCUUGUAAGUUAAUGGAGUGUUUUUGUUCUGCUGGUGUAACGUUUGUUGAGAUUUUUCUGUGUUCCCCUGUUUAGGGGAGUUAGCUUGGGAUUGGAAGUCUACGCUGGUGACUAAAGACAGCAGUGUCAGAGUGUGUUGUGUUUUCGAACAUUAAUGUGUACGUUGUGGGACAGCAAGGGGUAGAAUUAUUAUUUAAUUAAUAAAUUCACAGUCUUAAAAUGUUCAAUGUCAUUACUCCAUUAGUUUGUCAUCAUACUUAUAUUUAUAUCAUUAAAUAUUUACAUUGUUA
This is a long non-coding RNA of Biomphalaria glabrata, 727 nucleotides long. RefSeq lists it as uncharacterized. The transcript has 2 exons. NCBI's taxonomy places the organism in Eukaryota, Metazoa, Mollusca, Gastropoda, Planorbidae. The record is from RefSeq and is a predicted model, not a curated record.